This 72-nucleotide transfer RNA is filed under the name Umezawaea endophytica. RNAcentral describes it as "tRNA-Cys". It matches the Rfam family "tRNA". Rfam says of the family: Transfer RNA (tRNA) molecules are approximately 80 nucleotides in length. Their secondary structure includes four short double-helical elements and three loops (D, anti-codon, and T loops). Further hydrogen bonds mediate the characteristic L-shaped molecular structure. tRNAs have two regions of fundamental functional importance: the anti-codon, which is responsible for specific mRNA codon recognition, and the 3' end, to which the tRNAs corresponding amino acid is attached (by aminoacyl-tRNA synthetases). tRNAs cope with the degeneracy of the genetic code in two manners: having more than one tRNA (with a specific anti-codon) for a particular amino acid; and 'wobble' base-pairing, i.e. permitting non-standard base-pairing at the 3rd anti-codon position. Lineage: Bacteria; Bacillati; Actinomycetota; Actinomycetes; Pseudonocardiales; Pseudonocardiaceae. The record is from RNAcentral.
GGCGGAGUGGCCGAGUGGUUGAGGCACAGGCCUGCAAAGCCUGAUACACGGGUUCAAUUCCCGUCUCCGCCU